GGCAUGCCUUACACAUGCAAGUCGAACGGCAGCGGGGGUAGCUUGCUACCUGCCGGCGAGUGGCGAACGGGUGAGUAAUACAUCGGAACGUGCCCUGUAGUGGGGGAUAACUAGUCGAAAGACUGGCUAAUACCGCAUACGACCUGAGGGUGAAAGUGGGGGCCGCAAGGCCUCAUGCUAUAGGAGCGGCCGAUGUCUGAUUAGCUAGUUGGUGGGGUAAAGGCCCACCAAGGCGACGAUCAGUAGCUGGUCUGAGAGGACGAUCAGCCACACUGGGACUGAGAGACGGCCCAGACUCCUACGGGAGGCAGCAGUGGGGAAUUUUGGACAAUGGGGGCAACCCUGAUCCAGCAAUGCCCGCGUGUGUGAAGAAGGCCUUCGGGUUGUAAAAGCACUUUUGUCCGGAAAGAAAUCGCUUCGGUAAUACCUGGAGUGGAUGACGGUACCGGAAGAAUAGGACCGC
This 463-nucleotide ribosomal RNA is filed under the name Ralstonia syzygii. RNAcentral describes it as "bacterial SSU rRNA". It matches the Rfam family "Bacterial small subunit ribosomal RNA", at positions 41 to 496 of the family's 1533-position model. The record is from RNAcentral. Lineage: Bacteria; Pseudomonadati; Pseudomonadota; Betaproteobacteria; Burkholderiales; Burkholderiaceae.